RNAcentral lists this ribosomal RNA (408 nucleotides) under uncultured Gammaproteobacteria bacterium. RNAcentral's name for it is "bacterial SSU rRNA". It matches the Rfam family "Bacterial small subunit ribosomal RNA", at positions 370 to 779 of the family's 1533-position model. Lineage: Bacteria; Pseudomonadati; Pseudomonadota; Gammaproteobacteria. The record is from RNAcentral.
AAUGGACGCAAGUCUGAUCCAGCCAUGCCGCGUGGUGGAUGACGGCCUCUGGGUUGUAAACACCUUUUAUGUGGGGAUAAGUGGUUCUAUAUGGGCCAUUGCAGGUACCACAUGAAUAAGCACCGGCUAACUACGUGCCAGCAGCCGCGGUAAUACGUAGGGUGCAAGCGUUGUCCGGAUUUAUUGGGUUUAAAGGGUGCGCAGGCGGCUUAUUAAGUUAGUGGUGAAAUCACCCGGCUCAACCGGGACCCGCCAUUGAUACUGGUAAGCUUGAGUAUGUUCGAGGAGAUUGGAACGUGUAGUGUAGCGGUGAAAUGCAUAGAUAUUACGCGGAACACCAAUUGCGAAGGCAGAUCUCUGGGACAUAACUGACGCUGAGGCACGAAAGCGUGGGGAGCGAACAGGAUU